RNAcentral lists this ribosomal RNA (1462 nucleotides) under Bacillus tequilensis. Its description in RNAcentral is "bacterial SSU rRNA". The record is from RNAcentral. Lineage: Bacteria; Bacillati; Bacillota; Bacilli; Caryophanales; Bacillaceae.
AAAGAACGCGCGUGCCUAAUACAUGCAAGUCGAGCGGACAGAUGGGAGCUUGCUCCCUGAUGUUAGCGGCGGACGGGUGAGUAACACGUGGGUAACCUGCCUGUAAGACUGGGAUAACUCCGGGAAACCGGGGCUAAUACCGGAUGGUUGUUUGAACCGCAUGGUUCAAACAUAAAAGGUGGCUUCGGCUACCACUUACAGAUGGACCCGCGGCGCAUUAGCUAGUUGGUGAGGUAACGGCUCACCAAGGCAACGAUGCGUAGCCGACCUGAGAGGGUGAUCGGCCACACUGGGACUGAGACACGGCCCAGACUCCUACGGGAGGCAGCAGUAGGGAAUCUUCCGCAAUGGACGAAAGUCUGACGGAGCAACGCCGCGUGAGUGAUGAAGGUUUUCGGAUCGUAAAGCUCUGUUGUUAGGGAAGAACAAGUACCGUUCGAAUAGGGCGGUACCUUGACGGUACCUAACCAGAAAGCCACGGCUAACUACGUGCCAGCAGCCGCGGUAAUACGUAGGUGGCAAGCGUUGUCCGGAAUUAUUGGGCGUAAAGGGCUCGCAGGCGGUUUCUUAAGUCUGAUGUGAAAGCCCCCGGCUCAACCGGGGAGGGUCAUUGGAAACUGGGGAACUUGAGUGCAGAAGAGGAGAGUGGAAUUCCACGUGUAGCGGUGAAAUGCGUAGAGAUGUGGAGGAACACCAGUGGCGAAGGCGACUCUCUGGUCUGUAACUGACGCUGAGGAGCGAAAGCGUGGGGAGCGAACAGGAUUAGAUACCCUGGUAGUCCACGCCGUAAACGAUGAGUGCUAAGUGUUAGGGGGUUUCCGCCCCUUAGUGCUGCAGCUAACGCAUUAAGCACUCCGCCUGGGGAGUACGGUCGCAAGACUGAAACUCAAAGGAAUUGACGGGGGCCCGCACAAGCGKUGGAGCAUGUGGUUUAAUUCGAAGCAACGCGAAGAACCUUACCAGGUCUUGACAUCCUCUGACAAUCCUAGAGAUAGGACGUCCCCUUCGGGGGCAGAGUGACAGGUGGUGCAUGGUUGUCGUCAGCUCGUGUCGUGAGAUGUUGGGUUAAGUCCCGCAACGAGCGCAACCCUUGAUCUUAGUUGCCAGCAUUCAGUUGGGCACUCUAAGGUGACUGCCGGUGACAAACCGGAGGAAGGUGGGGAUGACGUCAAAUCAUCAUGCCCCUUAUGACCUGGGCUACACACGUGCUACAAUGGACAGAACAAAGGGCAGCGAAACCGCGAGGUUAAGCCAAUCCCACAAAUCUGUUCUCAGUUCGGAUCGCAGUCUGCAACUCGACUGCGUGAAGCUGGAAUCGCUAGUAAUCGCGGAUCAGCAUGCCGCGGUGAAUACGUUCCCGGGCCUUGUACACACCGCCCGUCACACCACGAGAGUUUGUAACACCCGAAGUCGGUGAGGUAACCUUUUAGGAGCCAGCCGCCGAAGGUGGACAGAUGACCCA